AGAAUCAACGCUGGCGGCGUGCCUAACACAUGCAAGUCGUACGAGAAAGGGGAGCAAUCCCUGAGUAAAGUGGCGACCGGGUGAGUAACACGUGACUAACCUACCCUCGAGUGGGGAAUAACUCCGGGAAACCGGAGCUAAUACCGCAUAACAUCGCAAGAUCAAAGCAGCAAUGCGCUUGAGGAGGGGGUCGCGGCUGAUUAGCUAGUUGGCGGGGUAACGGCCCACCAAGGCGAAGAUCGGUAUCCGGCCUGAGAGGGCGCACGGACACACUGGAACUGAAACACGGUCCAGACUCCUACGGGAGGCAGCAGUGGGAAUUUUGCGCAAUGGGGGAAACCCUGACGCAGCAACGCCGCGUGGAGGAUGAAGUCCCUUGGGACGUAAAACUCCUUUCGACCGGGACGAUAAAUGACGGUACCGGUGGAAGAAGCCCCGGCUAACUUCGCGCCAGCAGCCGC
RNAcentral lists this ribosomal RNA (461 nucleotides) under uncultured bacterium. Its description in RNAcentral is "SSU rRNA". It matches the Rfam family "Bacterial small subunit ribosomal RNA", at positions 26 to 518 of the family's 1533-position model. The record is from RNAcentral.